Long non-coding RNA from Hyaena hyaena (striped hyena), 408 nucleotides. RefSeq lists it as uncharacterized. The record is from RefSeq and is a predicted model, not a curated record. The transcript has 3 exons. NCBI's taxonomy places the organism in Eukaryota, Metazoa, Chordata, Mammalia, Carnivora, Hyaenidae.
AUGAAAAAACCUUAAGACAAGGAAAGGAAAGAAAAGCAGAUGAGAGACCCUUAGAAGAGAAGGUUUGCAGCGGGAGGAAAGGAAACAUGUGAGGCCUUCUUUGAAGGAAGAAAAGGAAGGAAGGAGAUUCCAACUGCUAUCGAUUAAACUGUUCAUAUCUUGAAGCUAUAACCCCCCAGGACAGAAUCCUCUGCCUCUCCACAUUCCAGAACAUCGGGUCGCUUCCUGGAUUUCAAACCCUGGUCUAUUCCUCCCUCUCUGACCUCCGCCGUCACCACCUCUUGUCCCGGAGCGAAUCAACUCCAGGCUGGUUCAAGUUGCUGCACAUUUUCAAUUGCUACAAGAGAUUCUCUUCGGCAAGAACAGCAGUGGGGAAAGUUUCCGCAUAGCCGUUUUAUAUUAGCUAAU